This 479-nucleotide ribosomal RNA is filed under the name uncultured bacterium. Its description in RNAcentral is "bacterial SSU rRNA". It matches the Rfam family "Bacterial small subunit ribosomal RNA", at positions 8 to 485 of the family's 1533-position model. The record is from RNAcentral.
AGAGUUUGAUCCUGGCUCAGAUUGAACGCUGGCGGCAUGCCUUACACAUGCAAGUCGAACGGCAGCGGACCUUCGGGUGCCGGCGAGUGGCGAACGGGUGAGCAAUGUAUCGGAACGUACCUUUCAGUGGGGGAUAACGUAGCGAAAGUUACGCUAAUACCGCAUAUUCUGUGCGCAGGAAAGCAGGGGAUCGCAAGACCUUGCGCUGAUUGAGCGGCCGAUAUCAGAUUAGCUAGUUGGUGAGGUAAAGGCUCACCAAGGCGACGAUCUGUAGCGGGUCUGAGAGGAUGAUCCGCCACACUGGAACUGAGACACGGUCCAGACUCCUACGGGAGGCAGCAGUGGGGAAUUUUGGACAAUGGGGGCAACCCUGAUCCAGCCAUGCCGCGUGAGUGAAGAAGGCCUUCGGGUUGUAAAGCUCUUUCGGCCGGGAAGAAAUCGCAUGGGUUAAUACCCUGUGCGGAUGACGUACCGGCAUA